UUUACUAGAUCUUACACAUAUGGUAGGACUCUUUGGGCAAGUGAUCACCUCGUCGCAAUUCCCGAAGUUGACUUCAUGUAAUACUAUUCACUGUGUAGUUCCUUCUAGAAAAACCUACAGAUAUGUUAGAAAUCUUAUUUGUUUAACCUUCAGUCCUUCAUUGCCUGCCUUUUGCCGGGGAGGGGGGGGAGAGGGGUGCAAAAUCCAUAUUUGUAUCGAAACAGUACUGGUUUCCUAUGUGCAAUGAAUUAUGCUUGGGUAAGGACUCCAGAAAUGUGCUUCCCCUCUCACCACAGAUGAGUUAAUGAAGAUCAGUGACUUGUGCAGUUUUAUCCUUCGUCUAAAUAUAUUAAAUGAGAAUGACUUAUUGCCAUGUGUAAUAUGCAGAAACAGAUAAAGAAUAUAUUUCGGCACCCUUAUCAUAAGCUCUGACAUGUAGUCUUCAAGUAUCCCACAUGAAGACAACAGUCAAAUUGAAAUUGCGAAGUUGCUUACAUGCCAUAUUACACAAGAGAGGGUUAUUCUUCAUGCAGGAUUAGUAAUUGCAUGUUUGUCUUUCAGUGCACUGCUUACCAGAGCAAGAGAUAAAAUACUUAGAUUUCAGAAUGAACUCAGAGUAGGGGAACUGCAUAACUGAAUAUGAGAGUGAACCACAUUCCCAGAGAGAGCAUGCAAAGGGGGAAAUCAUGAGUGCGUUGUAGGAAGAGUUGUAUGUCCAGAGAGGAGGAGGCAAAAGAUGCUGUUCCAAAGGAUGCUGCCAUGAUAAAGACAGUAUAAUCAGAGAGGAAGAGUUCAAACUUAGCCAAGCAUGGAAUCUCAGCACCAGAUUUUUAUGGCAUUUGAAAACAUACAUCAUGAAAAUCCCAAGAAGACAGAGUAUUCAUCCUAGUGUGUACGACAAUGAAAUGGAAAGUGUGUAAAUCAGCGCUAACACUAUUUCCUGUAUUUAAUUGUGAUUAAGAGAGGUUGUAACCAAAGUGACAAUAACUCCAAC
This is a long non-coding RNA of Cryptotermes secundus, 994 nucleotides long. RefSeq lists it as uncharacterized. The record is from RefSeq and is a predicted model, not a curated record. NCBI's taxonomy places the organism in Eukaryota, Metazoa, Arthropoda, Insecta, Blattodea, Kalotermitidae. The transcript is spliced from 2 exons.